RNAcentral lists this microRNA (21 nucleotides) under Bos taurus (domestic cattle). Its description in RNAcentral is "bta-miR-12061". The record is from miRBase by way of RNAcentral. Lineage: Eukaryota; Metazoa; Chordata; Mammalia; Artiodactyla; Bovidae.
UGUGGGACCUGGGUCUUGUGG